RNAcentral lists this ribosomal RNA (253 nucleotides) under uncultured bacterium. RNAcentral's name for it is "partial 16S ribosomal RNA". It matches the Rfam family "Bacterial small subunit ribosomal RNA", at positions 524 to 776 of the family's 1533-position model. The record is from RNAcentral.
UACGGAGGGUGCAAGCGUUGUUCGGAUUGACUGGGCGUAAAGGGCGCGUAGGCGGUUCGUUAAGUCCUGUGUGAAAUCCCCCGGCUCAACUGGGGAACUGCACAGGAAACUAGCGGGCUUGAGUUCGGGAGAGGGAAGCGGAAUUCCGGGUGUAGCGGUGAAAUGCGUAGAUAUCCGGAGGAACACCGGUGGCGAAGGCGGCUUCCUGGACCGACACUGACGCUGAGGCGCGAAAGCUAGGGGAGCAAACGGG